This is a long non-coding RNA of Biomphalaria glabrata, 1236 nucleotides long. RefSeq lists it as uncharacterized. The transcript has 2 exons. NCBI's taxonomy places the organism in Eukaryota, Metazoa, Mollusca, Gastropoda, Planorbidae. The record is from RefSeq and is a predicted model, not a curated record.
GCCGAAGGAACUGAAACAUUUUGCUGUGGCAUAUCAGGACAUCUGUGGCAUUACGUGGGAUACUGGUAGCACCGGAGAACAGAGUCAGAACUGGAAGAGAGGCAGUAGAAUUUGUUGUGAUCUAGCAUAUUCGGGAGUCCAAACAAAGGGAUCUUUCUUAUCAAAAGCUAAGUGCCAUUUUUCUUAGUAGUAUAUGUUUAGAUUGCCCUUAGAAAUAGAUUUUGUCUAAAUUUGGUAUGUUAGCCUGAGUAAAAUUCAGGUGGUGCUGAAGCCUUAAACCCGUUCGGGGUAAAGACAUAAUUUAGAUGAAAAGCUAUAUUAUACGUUUAGGGUUGUAAUUUGUUUUGUUUGUAUAAACGUCAUAUCCGUUGUUGCCUAGUUACUUCGUGACGUUAUCAUUGUGUGCCAUAUUGUCAUAUCCCAACCCAUAGUGAUAGUCUCAUUUAAUUAUUUCAUUUGUUUAUAUUAUUUUAAAUUAUUUAUUUUUAUUAAUUUAAUUAGAUCUGUAUUUUUUUUUUCACUUAAUGAUAGAAAGUGCGGGUAGGAUUCUUUUACUGUGAAUCAGACUAAAAUAAUUUUAGUUUGAGCGGUUAAAAUCAAAUAUGAUUUUGCCAUGAGAAUAAUGCCGAAACUGGCUAUGUAGUCAAACACUGUCGUCUGGCUAAAUUUAGAUCUACAAAUUGUUGUACAUCUCUUUGGUACAAUUAAAUCAUCUAGACUCUAAUUUGAAAUAUUAUUAAUUGAAAGAUGAAUGAAGAUUACUGCCAGUGAAGAACAUUUGUGAUGUAUGACGUGCCCAUAAGAUGCCACAUUUUCCUCCAUGAUGAACUGUGUACUAAUGAAGAUGAUUCUGGGAUGUUAUGAACAUUGACAUUGAAUAUGAGGAACUGUCAAGUCAAGAUGAAGAAGUCAAGAUGAAGAUGUCAAGAUUUUAUGUUUGUUGUCUUCCCCUUAAAUUGAAAAUGCCCUUGUAAGACUUGACAGUAGUGGAAAAAUAUUGACAUAUUUUUUUUUCAAGGGGGGGAGGAAUCUGUUAGACACCUUAUUUAUAUAGGUUAGUUAUUUAGCGACGCACCAUAGAUGACGCAUAUUGAACGGGACUAGUGACGUUUGGGAUAUGUUGGGUUAGAGACCGGAAAAUCAGUUAGCGAUAGAACACUCCAGGGUAACGACGUGUUUAGUGACAGAGACUUCUACUGUGGCCUUUUUAUCAGAAUAAAUACAUGUUGAAUAGUU